This is a long non-coding RNA of Monopterus albus (swamp eel), 528 nucleotides long. RefSeq lists it as uncharacterized. NCBI's taxonomy places the organism in Eukaryota, Metazoa, Chordata, Actinopteri, Synbranchiformes, Synbranchidae. The transcript has 3 exons. The record is from RefSeq and is a predicted model, not a curated record.
AGGAAAACAUAAGAGGCGAGAGAACUCAAGAAAACACAUUACUAACAAUAAGAGAUGUCCUUUCCUUGGAUCCUUCAUCUGAAACAUCCAAUCACCAUCUGAUUUCUGAUUAAUGGGCAUGGCACUUCACAAAAAACCUCCGUGAACUUUGUGUAUCCUCAGCCAUGGCUCCUCCAGCACCAUCUUCGCUCCCUGCUCCUUGGUCCUCAGAGCCGAUGUGUUUUAUGGUGUUUUACAGACAACAACAUGGCCCAUUACAGCCACCACCUGACCUGGAGUGUGGAUCAGGAAGAAACAGAUGUCCAUGCGACCUACCUCCAUUAACCAGAGCUCCUCUGGAGUAUAACUCAGCGCUGCUCCAGAUCCUACCCAGCCUCCAGACAUCAGGCCCAGCCCUCACCAUCCUUCUGCCUAGACGUGGGACUUCCAGACCACACUCAGCGGCUGUGACGGCGCGGCGUCGAGCCAAGCCUGGCACUGUCUUCAUAUAACUCCUGCUGGAGGUGGGAGAGUGCUAGCUGGACUCUG